UCAGGCCUAACACAUGCAAGUCGAACGAGAUUAUAGGGUAAGCUUGCUUACCUUAUAUGACAGUGGCGCACGGGUGCGUAACGCGUAUGCAAUCUACCUUAAUCAGGGGGAUAGCCUCUCGAAAGAGAGAUUAAUACCGCAUAACAUUAUGAUAUGGCAUCAUAUUAUAAUCAAACAUUUAUGGGAUUAAGAUGAGCAUGCGCGACAUUAGCUAGUUGGUGAGGUAACGGCUCACCAAGGCAACGAUGUCUAGGGGAUCUGAGAGGAUGACCCCCCACACUGGUACUGAGACACGGACCAGACUCCUACGGGAGGCAGCAGUAAGGAAUAUUGGUCAAUGGACGCAAGUCUGAACCAGCCAUGCCGCGUGCAGGAAGACGGCCCUAUGGGUUGUAAACUGCUUUUAUACGGGAAUAAACCUUCUUUCGCGAAAGAAGCUGAA
RNAcentral lists this ribosomal RNA (442 nucleotides) under uncultured bacterium. Its description in RNAcentral is "bacterial SSU rRNA". It matches the Rfam family "Bacterial small subunit ribosomal RNA", at positions 42 to 473 of the family's 1533-position model. The record is from RNAcentral.